RNAcentral lists this ribosomal RNA (270 nucleotides) under uncultured bacterium. Its description in RNAcentral is "partial 16S ribosomal RNA". It matches the Rfam family "Bacterial small subunit ribosomal RNA", at positions 28 to 291 of the family's 1533-position model. The record is from RNAcentral.
GAUGAACGCUAGCGGCAGGCUUAAUACAUGCAAGUCGAGGGGCAGCAGGUUUGUAGCAAUACAGAUGCUGGCGACCGGCAAACGGGUGCGGAACACGUACACAACCUUCCUUUAAGUGGGGAAUAGCCCAGGGAAACUUGGAUUAAUACCCCGUAAUAUUAUGAAACGGCAUCGUUUUAUAAUUAUAGCUCCGGCGCUUAAAGAUGGGUGUGCGUCUGAUUAGGUAGUUGGCGGAGUAACAGCCCACCAAGCCUACGAUCAGUAACUGGU